AGUGAACGCUGGCGGUAGGCCUAACACAUGCAAGUCGAACGGCAGCACAGUAAGAGCUUGCUCUUACGGGUGGCGAGUGGCGGACGGGUGAGGAAUACAUCGGAAUCUACUUUUUCGUGGGGGAUAACGUAGGGAAACUUACGCUAAUACCGCAUACGACCUACGGGUGAAAGCAGGGGAUCUUCGGACCUUGCGCGAUUGAAUGAGCCGAUGUCGGAUUAGCUAGUUGGCGGGGUAAAGGCCCACCAAGGCGACGAUCCGUAGCUGGUCUGAGAGGAUGAUCCGCCACACUGGAACUGAGACACGGUCCAGACUCCUACGGGAGGCAGCAGUGGGGAAUAUUGGACAAUGGGCGCAAGCCUGAUCCAGCCAUACCGCGUGGGUGAAGAAGGCCUUCGGGUUGUAAAGCCCUUUUGUUGGGAAAGAAAAGCAGCAGGUUAAUACCCCGCUGUUCUGACGGUACCCAGAGAAUAAGCACCGGCUAACUUCGUG
This 492-nucleotide ribosomal RNA is filed under the name uncultured bacterium. RNAcentral's name for it is "partial 16S ribosomal RNA". It matches the Rfam family "Bacterial small subunit ribosomal RNA", at positions 29 to 507 of the family's 1533-position model. The record is from RNAcentral.